RNAcentral lists this ribosomal RNA (576 nucleotides) under uncultured bacterium. RNAcentral's name for it is "bacterial SSU rRNA". It matches the Rfam family "Bacterial small subunit ribosomal RNA", at positions 339 to 906 of the family's 1533-position model. The record is from RNAcentral.
CUACGGGAGGCAGCAGUGGGGAAUUUUGGACAAUGGGGGAAACCCUGAUCCAGCCAUCCCGCGUGAGUGAAGAAGGCCUUCGGGUUGUAAAGCUCUUUCGAAAGUGAAGAAAACUUAUUUCGUAAUAUGUUAUAAGUAUGACGGUAACUUUAGAAGAAGCACCGGCUAACUACGUGCCAGCAGCCGCGGUAAUACGUAGGGUGCGAGCGUUAAUCGGAAUUACUGGGCGUAAAGCGUGCGCAGGCGGUUUUGUAAGUCAGAUGUGAAAUCCCCGAGCUUAACUUGGGAACUGCGUUUGAAACUACAAGACUAGAGUGUGUCAGAGGGGGGUAGAAUUCCACGUGUAGCAGUGAAAUGCGCAGAGAUGUGGAGGAAUACCAAUGGCGAAGGCAGCCCCCUGGGAUAACACUGACGCUCAUGCACGAAAGCGUGGGGAGCGAACAGGAUUAGAUACCCUGGUAGUCCACGCCCUAAACGAUGUCAACUAGUUGUUGGUGGAGUAAGAUCCAUGAGUAACGUAGCUAACGCGUGAAGUUGACCGCCUGGGGAGUACGGUCGCAAGAUUAAAACUCAAAG